Molecule: ribosomal RNA, 301 nt
Filed under: uncultured bacterium
Lineage: Bacteria
Description: partial 16S ribosomal RNA
Rfam family: Bacterial small subunit ribosomal RNA
Source: RNAcentral
CAGCCGCCACGGUAAUACGAAGGGUGCAAGCGUUAAUCGGAAUUACUGGGCGUAAAGCGUGCGUAGGCGGUGAGUUAAGUCUGCUGUGAAAUCCCCGGGCUCAACCUGGGAAUGGCAGUGGAUACUGGCUCGCUAGAGUGUGUCAGAGGAUGGUGGAAUUCCCGGUGUAGCGGUGAAAUGCGUAGAGAUCGGGAGGAACAUCAGUGGCGAAGGCGGCCAUCUGGGACAACACUGACGCUGAGGCACGAAAGCGUGGGGAGCGAACAGGAUUAGAUACCCCGGUAGUCCCUGUCUCUUAUAC